Molecule: long non-coding RNA, 1396 nt
Filed under: Heterocephalus glaber (naked mole-rat)
Lineage: Eukaryota; Metazoa; Chordata; Mammalia; Rodentia; Bathyergidae
Description: lncRNA (ENSHGLG00000042283.1)
Source: RNAcentral
ACCGUCCGGGUGCCCGGGGCUGGGGGCACGGGGCUGCUGCUGAAAGGCGCCAGCGUGUCCCUCUGCCUCGAGGCUGCCAGUGGGGGCCGGGACAGGCAGGAGGGCACAGGGCAGAGGGUCAGGGCCCAAGAGGAGGCGGUGGGCCGGCCUGGGCUCCUCUCUGGACCUGCUCCCUCCUCCGCCUGGGGCCGUGCAGGGCAGAGAGGGGCCGGAGCCAUCCCUGCACCCCAUGCGCCCCCUCUGGCCUGGCGUCUCUGAUGUGGGAUGUGAGAUCCAGAAGUGGCCAGCUCCCGAGUGAAGCUGUCUCAAAAUGAACCCAUCAAGGCAACCUGGAGCUUGGUUUCUCUCUGUUCUGUGGCUGCUGUUUCCUGCAUGGAGCCGAGAACCGUGACUGGGGCCUUUCGGCUGGAGGCACCACAGAGAAAUGGCCAGCUCAUCUAGAGACAGAAGCAGACCAAGGGCUGGAAGCUGGGAGCUCUGGCACUAUGCGGGUCAGCAGGUGCCCACUGGGGCCAGUGUCCGGGGCCAGCGGGAGAGGCCGGUGCAGGUGCCAGGCCAGGAUGAGGACCACGUGCCUGACUUUCAGCGGCGAGCCGGGUGCCGGACUUCGCAGUGCUAAAGGCCAGCAGAAGGACAAACAGGGAUAGAACUUGGGACCUUGCACUUGAGAGGCAGGCGGCAGAACCACUGAGCUACAUCCCCGGCCCUUUAAUGCUUACUUUUAAAAUAAAUGAGAUUCGAUCUUUGCUCUGGGACUUUGCCCCAGGUGCCGUCCCUGGCAGGGCUGCGUCCAGCGAGGCCACACAGACCCGCCACCUUGUGUUCAGCCCUGCUGCGAUGGCUUAACUGAGAAGCUGCACUUGUGUAUGGGACACUGUGUAGACGCUGAAAGCUUUGUUUUCGAAGGACAUUUGAUGACACAAGACUAGAUAAAAACGAAGGCUGUAGAACCAUGUAACUUUAACUGUGUUUCAAGGGGCAGGGUGUUUGCCUACAAGUGUGCACUUAAAGGACUGGACAUUCGGAGAGGGAGGAGCCUCUUAUUUCCAUUUCUUUAAUUUUUAAUUAUUAAUAUUUUGUUUUACAAUUUUACCAUGGACUGUACUGUUUUAGUAAAUAAAGAGUUACAUUAGGAAGUUAGGUGAAAAGCAUAAUAACUACCAUGAAACACACAAAAUACACAGGAGAAAGCAGCAUUAUGAUGAGUAGGAUUUUGAAUGGUAUUUGUAUUCAUUUUAAUAUUUUAAAAAUCGCCUACAACCGCUGGUGGUGGUGGGGCAUACCUGUAAUCCCAGCCACUUGGGAGGCUGAGGCAGGAGAUCACAGGUUAGAGGCCAGCCUGGGAGACUGAGACCUUGUCUCACAAGUUAAAAAAAAAAUGUAAAGGUCUGGGACG